RNAcentral lists this ribosomal RNA (731 nucleotides) under Geobacillus stearothermophilus. RNAcentral describes it as "bacterial SSU rRNA". It matches the Rfam family "Bacterial small subunit ribosomal RNA", at positions 56 to 769 of the family's 1533-position model. The record is from RNAcentral. Lineage: Bacteria; Bacillati; Bacillota; Bacilli; Caryophanales; Anoxybacillaceae.
UGCAAGUCGAGCGAAUGAAGAGGAGCUUGCUCCUCUGAUUUAGCGGCGGACGGGUGAGUAACACGUGGGUAAUCUGCCUGUAAGACGGGGAUAACUCCGGGAAACCGGGGCUAAUACCGGAUAAUAAGAGAAGAAGCAUUUCUUCUUUUUGAAAGUCGGCCUCUCGCUGACACUUACAGAUGAGCCCGCGGCGCAUUAGCUAGUUGGUGAGGUAACGGCUCACCAAGGCGACGAUGCGUAGCCGACCUGAGAGGGUGAUCGGCCACACUGGGACUGAGACACGGCCCAGACUCCUACGGGAGGCAGCAGUAGGGAAUCUUCGGCAAUGGGCGAAAGCCUGACCGAGCAACGCCGCGUGAGCGAUGAAGGCCUUCGGGUCGUAAAGCUCUGUUGUUAGAGAAGAACAAGUACGAGAGUAACUGCUCGUACCUUGACGGUACCUAACCAGAAAGCCACGGCUAACUACGUGCCAGCAGCCGCGGUAAUACGUAGGUGGCAAGCGUUAUCCGGAAUUAUUGGGCGUAAAGCGCGCGCAGGCGGUCUCUUAAGUCUGAUGUGAAAGCCCACGGCUCAACCGUGGAGGGUCAUUGGAAACUGGGAGACUUGAGUGCAGGAGAGAAAAGUGGAAUUCCACGUGUAGCGGUGAAAUGCGUAGAGAUGUGGAGGAACACCAGUGGCGAAGGCGGCUUUUUGGCCUGUAACUGACGCUGAGGCGCGAAAGCGUGGGGAGC